RNAcentral lists this ribosomal RNA (406 nucleotides) under uncultured bacterium. RNAcentral's name for it is "partial 16S ribosomal RNA". It matches the Rfam family "Bacterial small subunit ribosomal RNA", at positions 28 to 526 of the family's 1533-position model. The record is from RNAcentral.
GAUGAACGCUAGCUACAGGCUUAACACAUGCAAGUCGAGGGACCCGCGCACGGGUGAGUAACACGUAUCCAACAUGCCCUUUACUAGGGGAUAGCCUUUCGAAAGAUAGAUUAAUACCCGAUAUAAAGGAUGGGGAUGCGUUACAUUAGGUUGUUGGUGAGGUAACGGCUCACACAGCCUUCGAUGGCUAGGGGUGCUGAGAGGAAGGUCCCCCACAUUGGAACUGGGACACGGUCCAAACGCCUGCGGGAGGCAGCAGUGAGGAGUAUUGUUCAAUGAGCGGUAGCCUGAACCAGCCAAGUAGCGUGAAGGAUGAAGGCUUAUGGGUCGUAAACUACUUUUAUAUAAGAAUAUGUAUUAUAUGAAUAAGGAUCGGCUAACUCCGUGCCAGCAGCCGCGGUAAUAC